GACGAACGCUGGCGGCGUGCUUAACACAUGCAAGUCGAACGGUAAGGCUCCAGCUUGCUGGGGUACACGAGUGGCGAACGGGUGAGUAACACGUGGGUGACCUGCCCUGCACUUCGGGAUAAGCCUGGGAAACUGGGUCUAAUACCGGAUGGGACCGCACCGUGAGGGUGUGGUGGAAAGUUUUUUCGGUGUGGGAUGGGCCCGCGGCCUAUCAGCUUGUUGGUGGGGUAAUGGCCUACCAAGGCGGCGACGGGUAGCCGGCCUGAGAGGGUGGACGGCCACAUUGGGACUGAGACACGGCCCAGACUCCUACGGGAGGCAGCAGUGGGGAAUAUUGCACAAUGGGCGGAAGCCUGAUGCAGCGACGCCGCGUGGGGGAUGACGGCCUUCGGGUUGUAAACUCCUUUCACCAUCGACGAAGGGUUUCUGACGGUAGAUGGAGAAGAAGCACCGGCUAACUACGUGCCAGCAGCCGCGGUAAUACGUAGGGUGCGAGCGUUGUCCGGAAUUACUGGGCGUAAAGAGCUCGUAGGUGGUUUGUCGCGUCGUCUGUGAAAUUCCGGGGCUUAACUCCGGGCGUGCAGGCGAUACGGGCAUAACUUGAGUACUGUAGGGGAGACUGGAAUUCCUGGUGUAGCGGUGAAAUGCGCAGAUAUCAGGAGGAACACCGGUGGCGAAGGCGGGUCUCUGGGCAGUAACUGACGCUGAGGAGCGAAAGCAUGGGGAGCGAACAGG
Molecule: ribosomal RNA, 735 nt
Filed under: uncultured Corynebacterium sp.
Lineage: Bacteria; Bacillati; Actinomycetota; Actinomycetes; Mycobacteriales; Corynebacteriaceae
Description: bacterial SSU rRNA
Rfam family: Bacterial small subunit ribosomal RNA
Source: RNAcentral